AGCACAAAGGAAGUAGCAAUGCUUUUUUGGUGGCGACCGGCGCACGGGUGAGUAACGCGUAUGCAACCUACCUACUACUUUGGCAUAGCUCGUUGAAAGACGAAUUAAUACCUUAUAAAACAGGGGCUCCGCAUGGAGAUAUUUGUUAAAGAUUUAUCGGUAGUAGAUGGGCAUGCGUUCCAUUAGUUUGUUGGUGAGGUAACGGCUCACCAAGACAUCGAUGGAUAGGGGAACUGAGAGGUUUUACCCCCACACUGGAACUGAGACACGGUCCAGACUCC
This 281-nucleotide ribosomal RNA is filed under the name uncultured Dysgonomonas sp. Its description in RNAcentral is "partial 16S ribosomal RNA". It matches the Rfam family "Bacterial small subunit ribosomal RNA", at positions 65 to 339 of the family's 1533-position model. Lineage: Bacteria; Pseudomonadati; Bacteroidota; Bacteroidia; Bacteroidales; Dysgonomonadaceae. The record is from RNAcentral.